ACAUGCAGUCGAGCGGACAGAAGGGAGCUUGCUCCCGGAUGUUAGCGGCGGACGGGUGAGUAACACGUGGGUAACCUGCCUGUAAGACUGGGAUAACUCCGGGAAACCGGAGCUAAUACCGGAUAGUUCCUUGAACCGCAUGGUUCAAGGAUGAAAGACGGUUUCGGCUGUCACUUACAGAUGGACCCGCGGCGCAUUAGCUAGUUGGUGGGGUAAUGGCUCACCAAGGCAACGAUGCGUAGCCGACCUGAGAGGGUGAUCGGCCACACUGGGACUGAGACACGGCCCAGACUCCUACGGGAGGCAGCAGUAGGGAAUCUUCCGCAAUGGACGAAAGUCUGACGGAGCAACGCCGCGUGAGUGAUGAAGGUUUUCGGAUCGUAAAGCUCUGUUGUUAGGGAAGAACAAGUGCGAGAGUAACUGCUCGCACCUUGACGGUACCUAACCAGAAAGCCACGGCUAAAUUACGUGCCAGCAGCCGCGGUAAUACGUAGGUGGCAAGCGUUGUCCGGAAUUAUUGGGCGUAAAGGGCUCGCAGGCGGUUUCUUAAGUUUGAUGUGAAAGCCCCCGGCUCAACCGGGGAGGGUCAUUGGAAACUGGGAAACUUGAGUGCAGAAGAGGAGAGUGGAAUUCCACGUGUAGCGGUGAAAUGCGUAGAGAUGUGGAGGAACACCAGUGGCGAAGGCGACUCUCUGGUCUGUAACUGACGCUGAGGAGCGAAAGCGUGGGGAGCGAACAGGAUUAGAUACCCUGGUAGUCCACGCCGUAAACGAUGAGUGCUAAGUGUUAGGGGGUUUCCGCCCCUUAGUGCUGCAGCUAACGCAUUAAGCACUCCGCCUGGGGAGUACGGUCGCAAGACUGAAACUCAAAGGAAUUGACAGGGGGCCCGCACAAGCCGGUGGAGCAUGUCGGUUUAAUUCGAAGCAACGCCGAAGAACCUUACCAUGGUCUUGACAUCCUCUGACAACCCUAGACGAUAGGGCUUUCCCUUCGGGGACAGAGUGACAGGUGGUGCAUGGUUGUCGUCAGCUCGUGUCGUGAGAUGUUGGGUUAAGUCCCGCAACGAGCGCAACCCUUGAUCUUAGUUGCCAGCAUUUAGUUGGGCACUCUAAGGUGACUGCCGGUGACAAACCGGAGGAAGGUGGGGAUGACGUCAAAUCAUCAUGCCCCUUAUGACCUGGGCUACACACGUGCUACAAUGGACAGAACAAAGGGCUGCGAGACCGCAAGGUUUAGCGAAUCCCAUAAAUCUGUUCUCAGUUCGGAUCGCAGUCUGCAACUCGACUGCGUGAAGCUGGAAUCGCUAGUAAUCGCGGAUCAGCAUGCCGCGGUGAAUACGUUCCCGGGCCUUGUACACACCGCCCGUCACACCACGAGAGUUUGCAACACCCGAAGUCGGUGAGGUA
RNAcentral lists this ribosomal RNA (1406 nucleotides) under Bacillus pumilus. RNAcentral's name for it is "bacterial SSU rRNA". It matches the Rfam family "Bacterial small subunit ribosomal RNA". The record is from RNAcentral. Lineage: Bacteria; Bacillati; Bacillota; Bacilli; Caryophanales; Bacillaceae.